RNAcentral lists this long non-coding RNA (1104 nucleotides) under Monodelphis domestica (gray short-tailed opossum). Its description in RNAcentral is "lncRNA (ENSMODG00000046799.1)". The record is from RNAcentral. Lineage: Eukaryota; Metazoa; Chordata; Mammalia; Didelphimorphia; Didelphidae.
CUCAGUAACUGUGUGGAGGGGAGAGUACCAUAUCAAGCAGGAAGAGGGUGGACUCAUUUAAAAAAGAAAGAAAGAAAGAAAGAAAGAAAGAAAGAAAGAAAGAAAGAAAGAAAGAAAGAAAGAAAGAAAGAAAGAAAGAAAGAGAGAGAGAGAGAGAGAGAAAGAAAGAAAGAAAGAGAGAGAGAGAGAGAGAGAGAGAGAGAGAGAGAGAAAGAAGGAAGGAAGGAAGGAAGGAAGGAAGGAAGGAAGGAAGGAAGGAAGGUAGGAAGGAAGGAAGGAAGGAAAGAUUAUAAUUCUUUCAAAUUGACCACCUUGUUUGUUCUUUGGCAAAGUAGAAAUAAUUUGGAGUAGGAGAAGCAGCUCCCUUAGCUUCCUCCCUACCACCCCAAGAGCUGGCCCUAGACCCAAGGACAACACAUCUACCAGGCCAGGAUUCCAAGGAAAGGGAGCCCUACUUCCUCACCACAUUCCAAUUUAUGCUCUUGAAGAUGUCCCUUACCCACAGCUUUCACAAUAUCUUUCUUCCUUCUUGGCAACUUUUUUAAAAUGAGGACAUUCUUAGUGGUUUGAUGCUAAAAUUUUGUAGUUACUUUGAGAUUUAAAUGCUUAUUUCUUUUACUAUUAGCAAGGUUCCUAUAGUUGAGGGUUUUUAUAUGUUUAAGGUACAAUAUAGUUUUAGAGCAAUUAAAGGCUGCUAUCUAAAAAGCUUCUUAAUUCAAUUCAAUUGAAAACAUUUCUUCAGCACUUACCAUCUAGUAGAUACCAUACUGGAAAUAAGAAAUAUAAAGACAGAAAAUGUCACAAUCUCUGCCUUUAAGGAACUUAUAAUCUGAUGUAGGCGAGUGGUUAAGAUAAACAAAUAUGACGAUAACUAUGGUAGGAGAUAGAAUUUCACAAGUAUAUUUCCUUUUCCAAAUUCUAUGACCUUAGGCAAGUCACUUAACUUCCUUCAUCCUCAGUUUCCUUAUUUGUUAUAUGAGGGAAUUCAAUUAGAUGGUGUCUGAGGUCCUCUCAGCUCUAAGUUUCUGACCCUAAAAAAUAAGGGGCCUAGGUAAAGUUUAUAAAAAAAUUUGGGAGAGGAGAAAUCAUUGAUAACUAGAAGAU